UGCAUGCUGUCAUAAUUUGGAAUACAGAAAUUGACUGAGACCUCUCAGAGGAGGCCUAUCAUAAAAUAGGGUAAUAUCUGACUGCAUGCGAAAGACAACAGUUGGCAAAUUCUAGAGACAGCUGCAGUCAAAAUGCCUAUGAGUAACCAGUAAAGAGUAGGACAUAUAUCUACUGGGAGUUUUUGUGUUUUAAAAUGAAUGUCAAGAAAAUAUAAUGAACAUUAACAUCAGCAUCCAAGAGCAUUUAAACAAGAAUGUGUGAUCAACAACAAGCACAUUUCGGGCUAUAUAACGAUUUUAAUGCUGCGUUUGUUACAGUAUGCGCCUACUGGAGACUUUUAUUAUGAAGGCUGAAAAAAGGAACGCCACCAGGAAGUAGUUUCAUUUUUGCUGCAGGCGUAAAUGAUGGCGCCAGCUGCUCUUGUUCAUGUCAAAACACUGACUGGACUACACUUUGCAUAAGUUUAAAAUGGCUUCGUUUGGGUGGAAGAGGAAGGUUGGGGAGAAGGUUUCCAAGGCAACAGUGCAGCAGUUCGAGCAGGAAUCUGAGGAGAA
Long non-coding RNA from Clupea harengus (Atlantic herring), 555 nucleotides. RefSeq lists it as uncharacterized. The transcript has 2 exons. The record is from RefSeq and is a predicted model, not a curated record. NCBI's taxonomy places the organism in Eukaryota, Metazoa, Chordata, Actinopteri, Clupeiformes, Clupeidae.